CCUCCUCGUGGUCCGGCCACCUAGAAGCUGCAGGAUGUCCAUACAGUAGUGAUUCUGAGUGUUGCCGGGUGAGGGCCCAGCCCCCAGGGAGCCUGCAGAACCCAGCCCACCUGGCCGUGCCCACCACCACUCCCUGAAGUCAACCCUGCUCCCCCACAUCCGCCUCUAACACAAUGCCUGUGCCGUCUCCAGUGUGAGGGAUCAUAUGCUUGACUUCCCAGGAAAGGAAAUUUGGGUUUAUUUAGGUCCAGAUUGCUUUAAGUAGUAAAGAAAUUAGCGUUAAUGAAACUGACACCAUCUGGAACUCAUUAUGCAAAUGAAUUAAGUCCGACCUGAAAAUAUCCCAUGCUUCCUCUUAUUUAUCACGGAAAUGUAUAGACGACCAAAGCCGCGUGGGCAUACUUGGGAUGAUUCCUUCACUGAAUUUUACCAUGUAAAUGACAAUGUACCCUUCUUCGCCUACCUUACACAUUUUUCAAGAUUCAUUGUGACCAGUAUACCUGUUUAAGAAAAAAACUGUUAAUGUAUAAUAUCUAUAUAAAAACAUUUAAUAUUAACUUUGGUUAAGAAAAAUAGAACCCUUUAAGACUUAAGUUACGGAGAGGCAGAGUGAGGUCUUCCAUCGCUGGUUCACUCCCCAGAUGGCCUGAGCUGAUCUGAAGCCAGGAGCCAGGACCUUUUUCUGGGUCUCCUGUGCAGAGGCCCAAACACUUGGACCGUCUUCCACUACUUUCUAGGCACAUUAGCAGAGAGCUGGAUUGGAAGUGAGCAGCCGGGACUUUGAACCAGCUGGCACUGCGGGUGACGGAUUUACCCACUACGCCACAGCGCCACAAGGGUCCCGUCUUUGAGCUGCUCCAUGCUAAUGUGCCUGGACAGGCUUCAGAGGACGGCCCAGGUGCUUGGCCCUUGAUAUCCUAUGUGGGAGACCUGGAUGGAAUUCGAUGCUCCUGGCUUUACCCUGUCCUAGCAAUUCGGGGAGUGAACUGGCCAAUGGGAAACCCCUUUAUCACUCUGCAUUUCAUAAACCAGUCUUUAGACAGCGCUCAAGGGAUCUAGAAAUGAUUAGCGGUCAGGCACCAAGACCCGGGUUUCCAGCCCCCAGCACAAUAGCAUAGGGAGUCCACGCGUUAGCCUAAGCGCCGGACAGCAGAAUGAGCCCUGGUGAAGAGCAAGAUAGGGAAAAAUCCAGAGAUGCCACAGCCACAUAGCGGGAGCAGGCGGCCACCCCACCCUGUGCUAGUGCGGGCAGAGCCAUGGUGGAGCACAGACCAGGGCCUUGUGAGCUGGAGCUUGCCAGGAUAUUGGAGGCAAAGAACUCACAGGGCAUCCCAUAUGGGCACUGACCGGUUUGAGUCCCGGCUGCUCCACUUCUGAUGUGGCUCCCUGCUAAUGCCACCUGGGAAAGCAACAGAAGACGGCCCGAGUGCUUGGGCCCCUGCACCCGCGUGGGAGACCCUGAAACUCCUGGCUCCAGACCGGCACAGCUCGGGCCACUGUAGCCAUUCAGAGAGUGAACCAGCAGAUGGAAGACCUUUCUGCCCUCAUAUGUCCCAAGAAAAGACGCAGGCAUAUGAAGGAGCUGGCAUAGGGCAGAAGGGCACAGGGAGAAGUCUGCAGAAGGCAGAUACUCACCACCAAGCUUCCGACGAGCACCAAUGCCCGACGCAGGGGCAAAGAGGACGGUUAGGGCCCCGCCAGCUCAUUUAUACACUCAGGGUCCAGGGCGGCCCCAGCACCAGCCCAGAGGGAUUCCUCCCAGCUCCACCCACCACACCCUGCAGCUGGCCACCUGUGCUUACUCUCAAUCCUUAUGUGAAAACCAAGCUAAGGGUGGGGAGGAGUGUCCCAUCGCCUCCUGCAGACACCCAGGGUGGAGUGGCUAUGCCAGGGGUGAGCACAGGAGCUUGGGCACCGAAGGGAGCCGGGCCCACCGAGUCUGCACCCUUGCCAAGCUCCCGGGGACAAAGGCGGCCAGCACACGAGGCUCAUCAAAGGCAGGGGAUGGGGCAGGGCCAGCCUGGUAGGUGAGAAGCUAAGGACGGGAACCCUCGGUGUCAAUUUAGCUCCCUCUUCAGAGGCCAGAGUGCACCCCCGUGUAGAACUACGGUUGUAUGCACAUCCAGGCCCCAAGGGCACUCUGUUGAGGGCCUGCUGUGGCUUUAGGGGUCGUCAGAAAUGUUUAAGCUUCUUUUGAAGUCACCAGGAAAUGUCAGAUUACACACACUUAGACGCCUGCAGGGGCCAACCAGAGUCGGGGCUAGGCUUGUGUUCCAACCCUAUUGACUUUUAAAAAAGGUCAUUGACUUUCCAAAGCUUUGCUUCUCCAUUAAAAUUAAAUUCCUCCUCCAUCAUUCAGAUGCUGCACCCUGGAAUUCAGUUGCCUAUGGGUCAAAAAUGUCUGCAAAAAGCCUGAGCGGUUCCGGUCCAUUGUUCCCUGUUGCCGGACACAGCCCCACUCUGCAAAGGGACUGGAGCCUCGGUGGGUGCUGGUAGCUGGGGGGGGGGGGAGGCCUCCUGGAACCAGCUCCCUCCACCUCGGGGAACUGUAGGACCCCUCCUUCCUGGCUCUAAUGCUUAGCAGUGAUCAAGUUUUGCUCUCAAAACUAUGUACUUGGUUUAACCCGGAGCCUACACAAAAGGGAAGGUAUACAGCCCAGGGACGUAAUUAACACCUAACGCUUUGCUUUUUAACUGGAAAAGAACCGCUGGUGUGCCGGUGUGACUUGAGUUCUUCUGGUCCACUGACAGGUCAAGCUGCACGGUGAAAGGGAUAGGGCAGGUGUCAGGAUCAAGAUGGCUUCACUUGGGGCUGGGGUUGGGGGUUAGGCAGCUGCCUGGGACACCGGUGUCCCACACUAGAUGCCCAAGCUCUGCCGCCUUCCCAGGCGCAUUCGCAGGGAGCUGGAUCGAAAGCAGAGCAGCCGGGAUUUGAACCGGCGCCUUUGUAGGAUGCUGAUGUCGCAGGCGGCGGAGUAACCCACAGCGCCACAGUGCGGGGCCCCCAUUCACUCCUUGUCCACUGCCAGCCCCACCUAACACUUGGGAAAACAGAAUGGCGGCUGGAAAUCACGGGUGGAGGAAGAGACACGUGUACCAGGGUGUGGCGGGGCUCCGGGCUGGAACUGGAGUCAGGUACCAGCACAACAGGGCCGGGCCCUCCUUUGCCUCGGGUAGGGCCCGCAGGAGUUUCGGUGAGAUCCUCCCGUCUCAGUCUUUCUUAUGCAUGGGCCCUCCCUAGUCUCUGCUAAUCGCUUCAUUCUUUCCAUGGUCUCUUAUGCAGGCUCUGGGGGUCUGCGGGCUACGGAACUUUAAGAAUUGAAAAUCUCUGGCCAGGAGGAGAGGUGUAGAAUGUUAUGGUUUUGGAGAUUUUCGUUCCACACCUAGAAUUCCACUCCUGAGGGGUGUUGCGUUCUGACCCUGUCCUGUGUGUGUGUUUAAGAUGCCACAACCGCGUGUGCAGACUCUUCUCUGUGUUUUCUCAAAGCCACCUUCCUUUUUAUCUUUAAAAAAAAAAUUAUUUUCCCAUUUAUUUGUAAGACUGAGAGGUCUUUCAUCUGGUGGUUCACUCCCCAACAGCCAGGGCUGGGCCAGGCCACAGCCAGAAGCCAGGAGCUGCUUCCGGGUCUCCCACGUGGGUGGCAGGGGCCCAAGCACUGGGGCUGUCACCUGCUGCUCCCCCAGGUGUUGCCAGCAGGGAGCCGAGUGGAAGUGGAGCUGCUGGGACCUACUGGGAUGAUGGUGCCUGUGCAGUGGCUGAAUGCGAGCGGUGGAGACCAGCGUGGGGCGAAGGAAGUUGACACAGCUGGGCAGUGCGGGUGGUUGAGCUGUGAUGUGCCUGCGCUUGCCACUGUCGCAGGAAAGCUGGGUUCCUGUGACCACAUGGCCCAACCACUGCCAUCCUAAUGGGAUUCGCUGCUCCUACUUCCCUCCUGCCCCCCACCCUGAAGGUUUAAGAGGACCUGUUCCUGAGCACAUGGCUUGCUCUCUCCUCGUUCUUUGCCUUCGCCCCUUCCCUCCGGUCUGUUGGGUUCCCCCCAAUAAACCCUUUCCAUGCUCUGGUGUUUGGUGUUUUUGUGGCAGCCUUACAGUGUCCAUGGACACGAUGGUGACAUAAGGGAAAUUUUAUUUAAGUAAGAAAAAUAAAGACACCCGGAAAAAGCUCCUGGCUUCGGAUCGGCACAGCUCUGGGCUUCGCAGCCAUCUUGGGAGUGAACCAGUGGAUGGAAGACCUCUCUCUCUCUGCCUCUCCUCUCUGUGUAACUCUGACUUUCAAAUAAAUAAAUAAAUCUUUUAAAACGUGUUCUAACAGUGUGAGAAAGGUCCAUUGUCCCCUUAUCAUCCAUGUACCCAGCCUUUAUGACGUGUAGCUCUGGAGACACAGAAAGGCCUGCAUUUGUGACGAUCUUGCAGGUCUAACAUCCACCCACACCGUGGGCUGCCUCUCUCUAGGCACAGAUUCACCGGGUCAGCUUCCCCGUGGUGGGUCCAGGAGAUGCAGAUGGACAGAUUCUUUGAUUGUCAUACUCACACCUCAUGGGUGCAAGAUGGCUGCCACAGCUCCCUGCAUCCCAUCCACGUACAAGGCACAAGUCCAUAGGAGGAGGAGCCAGCCUCCAGCUUCCGAGGAGGCAGCCAGUUUCCCCUCACAGAAUCGGGUCCCGUGACCAGCGACCAUCUCCCUCAUUCUUAGUCCCUACCGGCAAGCCACAUACCUCUAGCACGGAUGUUGUGGGGAUCAGAGGUGAGGUGUGCCAGGAAUAAAAAUAUGCUUUACAAUAUUUAUUGCAGAGGAACAGAGGGGGCUCCCACUCAUUGGUUCACCCCACCACUUGAGCUGUCACUCUGCCUCCCGGAGCCGGCAUCAGCAGGACGCUGGGGUCAGGAGCCGGAGCCGGGUAUUGAACCCUGGUCCUCCCCUGCUUCUUCACUGGGCCCUUCAUUUCCUUCUGCCGUUUCUCAACCUGUCUUUCCCGCCGCCAGCCCCACCCCAGCCCCCACUUCCUGAACGGCUGCACAGGUUGCCAUGACAACGGCUAGAAUUUUUAUUAGGGGAGUUCAAGCCUGAGACACGGCUCCUGGCGGGGGCCCGGGCUGUAAUGGAGGAUGAAGUGAUCGUGAGAAAUGAACCAGAGGACACUUUAAUAAUGAUGACGAUGAUGGGAACAUACUGGAAUAUGUAGAAUCGAAAUGCUGCGCCUGGUGAUUGACUUCAGAUGUGAAGAUGACGAAAUUGACUUCCUACAAUUCUGAUAAUCACGCAAUAACAAUGACAGACUGCUGAGGACCUAGUGUUCUGUGACUGAUCCUCCUGGUGGAGAGGAGCCCCCGUGGCUGCCCGGAGAACAUCAGUGGUGACACUGAGGACACAGUUACAGGGCCAGCAAACAUCCAUGUGGCUUACAGAGGCAGGGAGGAUGCGGGCGAUGCAGCGUCUGUCCCGAGUGCAGCAUCUUUCCCCAGCCCUCACCUCAGCCCCGAGACUUACCUUGAAG
Non-coding RNA from Oryctolagus cuniculus (rabbit), 5495 nucleotides. The record is from RefSeq and is a predicted model, not a curated record. NCBI's taxonomy places the organism in Eukaryota, Metazoa, Chordata, Mammalia, Lagomorpha, Leporidae.